CUUAUUAGAACAGAAGCCAACCAGUUCGUUCACACAGGCAUCGCCUUAACUGGUGGUGUUGGUGUGCGGCGGACUGUAGCACUUCUGGUGACUCUGGAUAAUUGUUACAGAUCGCAGUCGACCUUGAGUCGGCGACGGGUCCUUCAAAUGUCUGCCCUAUCAACUUUCGAUGGUAGGUGACCUGCCUACCAUGGUGAUAACGGGUAACGGGGAAUCAGGGUUCGAUUCCGGAGAGGGAGCCUGAGAAACGGCUACCACUUCCAAGGGAGGCAGCAGGCGCGCAAAUUACCCACUCCCGGUACGAGGAGGUGGUGACGAAAAAUAC
This 325-nucleotide ribosomal RNA is filed under the name Hymenolepididae sp. BJ-1. Its description in RNAcentral is "bacterial SSU rRNA". It matches the Rfam family "Eukaryotic small subunit ribosomal RNA", at positions 203 to 480 of the family's 1831-position model. The record is from RNAcentral. Lineage: Eukaryota; Metazoa; Platyhelminthes; Cestoda; Cyclophyllidea; Hymenolepididae.